RNAcentral lists this ribosomal RNA (719 nucleotides) under uncultured bacterium. Its description in RNAcentral is "bacterial SSU rRNA". It matches the Rfam family "Bacterial small subunit ribosomal RNA", at positions 58 to 762 of the family's 1533-position model. The record is from RNAcentral.
CAAGUCGACGCGAAGUGGAGCAAUCCAUUAGUAGAGUGGCAAACGGGUGAAUAACGCGUGGGCGACCUGCCUUCGAGUGGGGGAUAACAUUCCGAAAGGGAUGCUAAUACCGCAUAACAUCCUUCGUUUAGAUACGAGGCGAUCAAAGCCGGGAGCAAUUCUGGCGCUUAAAGAGGGGCCCGCGUCCGAUUAGCUAGUUGGUGGGGUAACGGCCUACCAAGGCUCCGAUCGGUAUCCGGCCUGAGAGGGCGGACGGACACACUGGAACUGAGACACGGUCCAGACUCCUACGGGAGGCAGCAGUGGGGAAUUGUUCGCAAUGGGCGCAAGCCUGACGACGCAACGCCGCGUGGAGGAUGAAGACCUUCGGGUCGUAAACUCCUUUCGACCGAGAAGAAUGGCUCCCGACCUCAUACGUCGGGAGCAUGACGGUAUCGAGGGAAGAAGCCCCGGCUAACUCUGUGCCAGCAGCCGCGGUAAUACAGGGGGGGCAAGCGUUGUUCGGAAUUACUGGGCGUAAAGGGUUCGUAGGUGGCCAACUAAGUCAGACGUGAAAUCCCUCAGCUUAACUGGGGAACUGCGUCUGAUACUGGAUGGCUUGAGUGCAGGAGAGGAACGCGGAAUUCCAGGUGUAGCGGUGAAAUGCGUAGAUAUCUGGAGGAACACCGGUGGCGAAGGCGGCGUUCUGGACUGCAACUGACACUGAGGAACGAAAGCCA